GACGAACCGAGCGAACGUUAUUCGGAAUAACUGGGCUUAAAGGGUGCGUAGGCGGGCUGUCAAGUCUGGGGUGAAAUCCGGCAGCUUAACUGUCGAACUGCCUCAGAUACUGAUGGCCUCGAGGGAGGUAGGGGCAUGCGGAACUGUAGGUGGAGCGGUGAAAUGCGUUGAUAUCUACAGGAACUCCGGUGGCGAAAGCGGCGUGCUGGACCUCUUCUGACGCUGAGGCACGAAAGCUAGGGGAGCAAACGGG
This 253-nucleotide ribosomal RNA is filed under the name uncultured bacterium. Its description in RNAcentral is "partial 16S ribosomal RNA". It matches the Rfam family "Bacterial small subunit ribosomal RNA", at positions 524 to 776 of the family's 1533-position model. The record is from RNAcentral.